This 261-nucleotide ribosomal RNA is filed under the name uncultured archaeon. RNAcentral's name for it is "partial 16S ribosomal RNA". It matches the Rfam family "Archaeal small subunit ribosomal RNA", at positions 748 to 1009 of the family's 1478-position model. The record is from RNAcentral.
UAGCCGUAAACGAUACUCGCUAGGUGUCGGCCACGGUGCGACCGUUGUCGGUGCCGUAGGGAAGCCGUGAAGCGAGCUACCUGGGAAGUACGGCCGCAAGGCUGAAACUUAAAGGAAUUGGCGGGGGAGCACAACAACGGGUGGAGCUUGCGGUUUAAUUGGACUCAACGCCGGGAAGCUCACCGGAUAAGACAGCGGAAUGAUUGCCGGGCUGAAGACUCUGCAUGACUAGCUGAGAGGUGGUGCAUGGCGUAGACGUCU